RNAcentral lists this transfer RNA (86 nucleotides) under Burkholderia multivorans. RNAcentral describes it as "tRNA-Cys". It matches the Rfam family "tRNA". From Rfam's summary of the family: Transfer RNA (tRNA) molecules are approximately 80 nucleotides in length. Their secondary structure includes four short double-helical elements and three loops (D, anti-codon, and T loops). The record is from RNAcentral. Lineage: Bacteria; Pseudomonadati; Pseudomonadota; Betaproteobacteria; Burkholderiales; Burkholderiaceae.
GCACGCGUAGCCAAGAGGCCGAAGGCACAGGUCCGCAAAACCUACGACGCAAGUCCACGUCAGUUCGAAUCUGACCGCGUGCUCCA